Molecule: long non-coding RNA, 1151 nt
Filed under: Apteryx owenii (little spotted kiwi)
Lineage: Eukaryota; Metazoa; Chordata; Aves; Apterygiformes; Apterygidae
Description: lncRNA (ENSAOWG00000008228.1)
Source: RNAcentral
GUGGAGGCCGUUGCCGUGGGGAGGCUGCUGCCGGAGACCCUGUGUCGGCGCGGCUGCGCGGGCGCCUGCCUCGCUUGCGAGCUGCGGCUGUCCCUGCUUGCAGGCCGGCCUGAGGAGCCAGCAAGGGCCAGCUGUUUGCCACACGAGAAUGGGGCGGCAAGGGCAGGGCUGAAUGGUUUCCGCGGCCCGCCUUCCCUGUGGCCCAGAGGGCUUCGGGGCACACAGGCCUCCCUAAUGCGGGUUUUCCUGAAACUGAUGAAGAGUUAUCUGCUCUAGCAAAUGUGCCUGACUGUACGGCCAUGUCCUCAACAUCCUUUCUCUUUCUGCCAUCAACGCUUCAUGCAGCGUUGCUACAUAACAUAAAACAAGAAGGUGCCUUGUACAACUGCAGAGUCUUCACAAGAUUUCUACAUGCGAAUUCAUAUCUGCACCUUGAAAGUUGGGGGGCACCUGCCCUUGCCCAAGCACAGCUGUGUUUGCCUCACCAGACACAUCAGAGAUGCUUGGACAAAGUUUCCUUGAAGAAGACAAAAAAAAAAAGAAAAAGAAAGAAAAAGAAAAAGCACGAAAUCGAAUUAGGAUCAAAAGACUUGCAGCUACAACGCCAGUGAAAUUAGUAAGUUCAAUCAAUUAAGUACUUGCAACUCAUUUGGAUUUCAGAUCUGGUCUUGCAUCUUGAAACCAGAAAAGAAUUCAUAAAAGGCAGUUUAUGUAAAAAUGUGACCCUAAAAAUACACUUCCUCAUAAGCAGGAACCAAUAACAUGCUCCUGUACUUGACUUCAAAAUAUAGUGCAAUUUCAAAGAUUAUCAGCUCCAAAUGAUCCAAUAUCUUGCACCUAUAAGCACAGUUCUUGAGCUGGGAACCUAGAAUAUAGACUAUCAAAAUUAAAGUUCACUUCAGGAAAAGUUUUGGCUGUUUACUCCUAAAAGUGAUGCUCCUAAUCAGGAUCAUUGCAUUAAAUGAUUAUUGGCUCCCAUUACUUCAGUGACAGAGAAAAUUUUCUUGUGCUUUUUCCCAACUAUAAACUUCUCUGAACCAAGUUUCCAUGGCCAGCAGGAGGUAUUGACAUUUCACUAAAAAAAAUUAAUGCAAUGACUUUUGCUAUGACAAGACUUCGUCUGUUAAAUAAAUGCAUCCUGACAAAUGUCA